This 1087-nucleotide long non-coding RNA is filed under the name Crocodylus porosus (Australian saltwater crocodile). Its description in RNAcentral is "lncRNA (ENSCPRG00005002980.1)". Lineage: Eukaryota; Metazoa; Chordata; Crocodylia; Crocodylidae. The record is from RNAcentral.
GGAUGAAGUAAACAAGAAUAUAAGACUGGAUUCUGGAGAGCUGGACUUUAAGGCUUUGUAUGUAUGAACACAUAUGGAAGGUGUGAUGAGCUGUUAAUUGGAUGUGCGUUUUUCACUUAUAUGAGGAAUGGGAACAGAACAUGGUCCCUGCACUGUGGGGUUCAGAGAAUUGCAUCAGAUGGAUAUGAACUGGGAGAGGGAUGCUGAAGGAGCUCCAUCCACAUAUGAUGGAAGAAGGGGAAUAGUUCUACUGUGGUACUGACCAGGUUCUACCUAAUGGGAGCAAAUGAGAAGAAAAUAGAGGAGGUGCCCUCAUGUCUAUACUGUUUGCACAUGUAGACAUGGAUCAUGAGAUUCACCAUUCCUUAUCCUUAACUGGUAGAACAUAAGAUCAUGACUUGCUUCCUCCAAUUAGACCUUUCAGUUUUUCUACUUACCUUGAGUCCAAUUUUCUGUGUCAUUUCUCCUCAACAAACCUAUCCUCCUUAAAUUAGGAGCCCAGCUGCCUUUUAUUAACCUUGGUGAUGUAUUACUUAUGGCAACUGUGGCACUCUGCCACAACUAAUCAUAUAAGUAGUAUUGCUUUCAAGUAGUAAUACAUUCUAAAUCCUAAAAUUAUCUCAGUAUUGAAUGAAUGGAACUGAGUUACAACUAUAAUAGGCCACAUAUAAGUAACAGAUAAAGCUCGUUAGAAAUUAUUUGUUGGAACAGUUGGAACAGUUGUAUAUUGGAAAAUGCCAAUUCAGCAAUAGGGUUUUCUCAUUUUUGUUUUUUUUAUGAAGUCAUGUAAACUAAUGAAAUGUUAUAAUAUAUAAAGUUUUGUCCCACUUCUGGAUCUCAGCGACUGAUGCAUGGAAGGAUAUACAAUCCAAUUCACAGACACAUAGGAAUGUAAAACUGGAAAAGACCACCUGGGUUAUUGUGUCCAAACCUACACUAGACAGGGCUUCUGAUAUCUGUAUUUAGAUCCCAUAGCAAUUAGCACUGUACAAGGACAUAUGGUAGAUAAGAACAUGCAAUUUAAAGAUGCUCCCUAACUAAGAAGACUACAGAGUUUGAGAAUGGGGAUAUGGUCCCUGUGUCGGGU